UACGGAGGGGGCUAGCGUUGCUCGGAAUCACUGGGCGUAAAGCGCACGUAGGCGGCUUCUUAAGUCAGGGGUGAAAGCCUGGAGCUCAACUCCAGAACUGCCUUUGAUACUGAGGAGCUUGAGUCCGGGAGAGGUGAGUGGAACUGCGAGUGUAGAGGUGAAAUUCGUAGAUAUUCGCAAGAACACCAGUGGCGAAGGCGGCUCACUGGCCCGGUACUGACGCUGAGGUGCGAAAGCGUGGGGAGCGAACAGG
This 253-nucleotide ribosomal RNA is filed under the name uncultured bacterium. Its description in RNAcentral is "partial 16S ribosomal RNA". It matches the Rfam family "Bacterial small subunit ribosomal RNA", at positions 524 to 776 of the family's 1533-position model. The record is from RNAcentral.